This 2883-nucleotide ribosomal RNA is filed under the name human gut metagenome. Its description in RNAcentral is "bacterial LSU rRNA". It matches the Rfam family "Bacterial large subunit ribosomal RNA". The record is from RNAcentral.
AGGGCGUAUGGCGGAUGCCUAGGCUCACGGAGGCGAUGAAGGACGUGAUAAGCUGCGAUAAGCUUCGGGUAGGUGCAAAUAACCCUUGAUCCGGAGAUUUCCGAAUGGGACAACCUAGCCGUCUGAAGGACGGUUACUAGCACUUAAGUGUUAGAGCUAACGCAGGGAACUGAAACAUCUUAGUACCUGCAGGAAGAGAAAAUAAAUGAAUGAUUCCCCCAGUAGUGGCGAGCGAACGGGGAACAGCCCAAACCAGUGGCGUCGCAAGGCGUGGCUGGGGUUGUAGGACCGCGACAUUGUAUGCAAAUCGUGAACAGAACACUUUGGAAAAUGUGACCAUAGACGGUGAUAGUCCAGUAUGUGAAGCGAAAUGCAGCAUAGCGGUAUCCUGAGUAACGCGGGACACGAGGAAUCCUGCGCGAAUCUGCCGGGACCAUCCGGUAAGGCUAAAUACUCCCGUGAGACCGAUAGCGAACGAGUACUGUGAAGGAAAGGUGAAAAGAACCCCGAGCAGGGGAGUGAAAUAGUUCCUGAAACCAUACGCCUACAAGCGGUCGGAGCAUCGCAAGAUGUGACGGCGUGCCUUUUGCAUAAUGAUCCUACGAGUUACCGUCACUGGCGAGGUUGAGUGUCACGAGACACGUAGCCGCAGUGAAAGCGAGCCUGAACAGGGCGCACAGUCAGUGGGGGUAGACGCGAAACCAAGUGAUCUACACUUGGCCAGGAUGAAGUCCCGGUAACACGGGAUGGAGGUCCGCACCAAUAAGCGUUGAAAAGCUUCUGGAUGAGCCGAGUGUAGGAGUGAAAGGCCAAUCAAACUUGGAGAUAGCUCGUACUCCCCGAAAGGCAUUUAGGUGCCGCGUCGGAUGGUCACCGUGAGAGGUAGAGCGACCGAUAGGACAAGAGGGCUUCACCGCCUAUCGAGUCCUGACGAACUCCGAAUGCUCACGGUCUGCAGUCCGGCAGUAAGGGGGCGGGUGCUAAGGUCCGUCCCCGAGAGGAGAAGAAUCCAGACCGCCGUCUAAGGUCCCGGAGUUCUGCCUGAGUUAGUCUAACGAAGUCUGGUCCCUAUGACAGCUAGGAUGUUGGCUUGGAAGCAGCCAUUCAUUCAAAGAGUGCGUAACAGCUCACUAGUCGAGGGUCCGGGCAUGGAUAAUAAUCGGGUAUAAGGCAGACACCGAAGGCGCGGGAUAGCAUUUAAGAAAGUAUCGGUAGGGGAGCAUACUCACAGCGUCGAAUGGUGUACGUAAGUUAUCCUGGAGCGGUGAGUAAAGCAAAUGUAGGAAUAAGUAACGAUAAGGAGGGUUAGAUUCCCUCCCGCUGUAAGACCAAGGUUUCCCGGGCAAUGCCAAUCAGCCCGGGGUCAGUCGGGUCCUAAGUCUAAGCCGAACGGCGAUGGCGAUGGCAGAGACGGUUAAUAUUCCGUCACUGCCGCAUGGGGCGACGUGGAGACGGAGCAGUGAAACCACCGCGGGGCGACGGAAGUCCCCGUUGAAGAGUGUAGGCGUUGAGGAUGGCAGGCAAAUCCACCAUCCGAGCUGAACUUGACAGUACGGAGUCCUCCUCGGAGGAAUCUGAUAGUGUGGGUAAUCAUACUCCCGAGAAAAUCCGCUAAGCUUAACCCAUGCGGCACCCGUACCGCAAACGGACACACGUGGUCGGGUAGAACAUACUAAGGCGUUGAGAGAUUCAUGGUUAAGGAACUAGGCAAAUUGACCCUGUAACUUCGGGAUAAAGGGUCCUCGUGAUGAGCGAGGCGCAGAGAAUAGGUCCAGGCAACUGUUUAACAAAAACACAGGGCUGUGCAAACUCGAAAGAUGACGUAUACAGCCUGACACCUGCCCGGUGCCGGAAGGUUAAGAGGAGAUGUCACCAGCAAUGGGAAGCAUUGAAUUGAAGCCCCGGUAAACGGCGGCCGUAACUAUAACGGUCCUAAGGUAGCGAAAUUCCUUGUCGGGUAAGUUCCGACCUGCACGAAUGGUGUAAUGAUCCGGACGCUGUCUCAACCAUGAGCUCAGUGAAAUUGUAGUAUCGGUGAAGAUGCCGAUUACCCGCGAUGGGACGAAAAGACCCCGUGAACCUUUACUACAGCUUAGCAUUGACCUUGGUCAUCCGAUGUGUAGGAUAGGCCGGAGGCUUCGAAGCGGGAGCGCCAGCUUUCGUGGAGCCAUCCUUGAAAUACGGCCCUUUGGCUGUCUGAGGUCUAACGCGUGAUACGCGGACACUGCUUGGUGGGUAGUUUGACUGGGGUGGUCGCCUCCAAAAGCGUAACGGAGGCUUCCAAAGGUGCCCUCGGGUCGAUUGGUAACCGACCUCAAAGAGUGCAAUGGCAUAAGGGCGCUUGACUGGGAGGCAGACAUGCCGAGCAGGCAGGAAACUGGGGCAUAGUGAUCCGGCGGAUGUGUAUGGAAACUCCGUCGCUCAAAGGAUAAAAGGUACUCCGGGGAUAACAGGCUGAUCCCCCCCAAGAGCUCAUAUCGACGGGGUGGUUUGGCACCUCGAUGUCGGCUCGUCACAUCCUGGGGCUGGAGAAGGUCCCAAGGGUUGGGCUGUUCGCCCAUUAAAGUGGCACGCGAGCUGGGUUCAGAACGUCGUGAGACAGUUCGGUCUCUAUCUAUCGUGGGCGUGGGAGUUUUGAGUGGUGCCGUCACUAGUACGAGAGGACCGUGAUGGACAGACCUCCGGUUUACCAGUUGUGCCGCCAGGCGCACCGCUGGGUAUCUGAGUCUGGAUUGGAUAAGCGCUGAAAGCAUCUAAGUGCGAAGCCAGCCGCAAGAUGAGAACUCCAUUGAGGGUCGUCAGAGACGAUGACGUUGAUAGGAUGCAGGUGUAAAGACAGCGAUGUCAAAGCCGAGCAUUACUAAUUGCCCGAACACUUUCUUU